GAUGAGUAAACUGAGACCAGAGAGGAUGAGUGAAUUGCUCAAAGUUCUCUGUAUCCAUGAAGCAAUGAGCCAAGAAAGUAAGCAGGACCAUACUCCCUUCCUUUUAAUCUAUUCCCUUAAGGGAAUAUGCUGACUUCUCUCACAGAUACCUUGUUGCAGGGAAGCUGAAAACUUAAAAGGUUUCAUCAAUGACUCUUUUUAUUUUCUUCAAGAAGACACAAGGGUUACUUUCAAAAGGUUGAAACAACAGAUUGAUGUACUUCAGGCUAGAGUAAAAGCUGCUGGAGCAAAUAUGUAUGACACCAAUGGCACUCGAGAGGAGCUUAACACAAAGUAACUGCAAGGAG
RNAcentral lists this long non-coding RNA (347 nucleotides) under Monodelphis domestica (gray short-tailed opossum). Its description in RNAcentral is "lncRNA (ENSMODG00000037926.1)". Lineage: Eukaryota; Metazoa; Chordata; Mammalia; Didelphimorphia; Didelphidae. The record is from RNAcentral.